This 2205-nucleotide long non-coding RNA is filed under the name Nicotiana tabacum (common tobacco). RNAcentral describes it as "long non-coding RNA (NTAB_LNC001532)". The record is from RNAcentral. Lineage: Eukaryota; Viridiplantae; Streptophyta; Magnoliopsida; Solanales; Solanaceae.
AAACAUACACAACAAAAAAGUCAAAAAAGGGAGGAGGAAAGUAGGGGACAAUAAAAGGAAAAUGGACGUGUGAAAAGAGGAUGAGGGCAUCAUCUUGCACCCUAAAAAAACCAGUUGUAAAGCUCAUGAAGAGCUGGUCACUUUCGGCCAAACAAAGUCAAAAAGAGCAACCAUCACACUCCAUUAUUUCCGCCAUAAAAACAACCAUGUAAAGCUCCUCUUAAAAAAAAGGGUCAGCUUUAAAACAACCCCAAAAACCAUCCGCAAGAUAGCUAAAAAAUAACAACCAAACCAGCUGAAAAUUUGUUAAAAACCAGUCCAAAAAAUCCAAAAAAAGAGAGCUGAAAAUCCACCCCAAAACCAACCCUCUUCUCUCCCCAUAACAGCCUCAAAACAACUACAAAAUCCAACCCAAGAGAGCCGCAAAAAUCAGUUACGAAUCUUCUGAAAAAUCAGUCCAAAACUACAAGCAAAACACCUCAUUUUCAACCUCCCAAAACAACCUCUAAAUACCACUCAAAAGUAGCUGAACAUUUAUCACCAAACAACCAUGACAACACCACAAAACAACAACAUCAAGAGUUGAGUUCGAGGGUGCUAUUCGAAAGAUCUGGUCUUCAGUUCCAGUUGAGGUCGCCGUCGAGGUCGUCGCACGAUAGCAACUCUGAUCUCAAUGUGCCAGCCAGAUUUUGAUUUUUAGCAUUUGAGGUGAUUUUGACUCUAAAGAAGGUUCAUUUCUCACCUUUUACUUGAUUAAUUUAUGAUUGGAUGUCUUCUGUCAUGAAUCUUGAAGAUAAAUGAAGUUAUGUUUCCCUUAGUACGUUUGUAUGCUUUAAUAUUUUUAUUUAUGUGAACUUCAUAUCUACUACAUUAUUUUUGAUAUAUUAAUGAAAAUUUGGUACAAGUUGGUUAGUUUGUGCGAUAGUGCCCUUCCUUAUUUAAAAAAUAUUAUUUUAUAAUUUUUCUCAUAGGCUUUGCAAGAUUGAGAAUAUGAUUUAGGAUUUGGGCCAACUGUUUUUGAUAAUAAAAGAGGCCGAACAGCUCAAUAACAAAUAGUGGAGCUAAUUUAGUAUAUAAUGUAAGCUAAUCUACCUUUCAUAAUCAAUUGACUUCAUCUCCCUCACAAUAAUCCUCCAUAGUUCUAGUCUUACAAUAAUCUCAAACUUAGGAAAGAAGCAAAGCAAGAAUACGCUAGAAUGUUAUAAGCGUGCUCUUAAUUAAUAGAUUUCUCGUGAUUAGGUAUACGUUCACGUGACAUAAUUACGAUUUUCAAAAGAAAAUUAAAAUUGAAGUAUGCAUUCGCGCAACUUUGGGCAAAAAUAAUAUUAAUAUAAUAAAAUAUUUUUAAUUGUGUACACGUGCGCAUGACAUGAUUUUGACACAAUAAACAAUGCGGAUUUACACAAGUAAUUUGUUUCAAAGAUAAUUCCUUUAGUUAUUUAAUUAAAAGUUGAUAGGUAAAACAUGAAAGCCAAAUAAAUCACAGUUUAUCUAAAAUUAAUUCAAGCCAAGUUCAAGUCAAUAAAGCAACCAUGCUAGAACCACGGGACUUGGGGAAUGUCUUACACCUUCUCCCCGGUCAACAGAAUUCCUUACCCGGACUUGUUUUUGCGGACCAAUAAUAAUAGAGUCAAAUCUUUCUUUGAAUAGGGAUUCAAAUAAAAGGUGACUUGGAACACCGGCAAAAAUCAAUUCCAAGUGGCGACUCUGUAAAUAAAAUAAUCCAUAUUGUCACACCUCCUUUUUACCUACACCCCCGAAGGGUAUAAGAGAAUUUUUCUAGUUUAAGUGACAAUCGAAAUGAGAUUAUUUAUUUAAAAAUUCAGAGUCGCCACUUGGGAUAAUUUAUGGUAUCCCAAGUCACCGGUUUCAAAUCCCGAAUCGAGGAAAGAUUGACUCUGUUUUACAGUCCGCGAAUACAGAAAUCCAGGUAAGGAAUUCUGUUAACCCGGGAGAAGGUGUUAGGCAUUCCCAAAUUAUGUGGUUCUAGCACGGUCGCUCAACUAUUAUAUUUGGCCUAUUUACUUGAUUUUAAUACAUGUUUUAGCCUAUGGUUCAAUUUUACCUUUAUAACCACUUUAUUUAAAUAUUUUUCAGGAAGAUUCAACGUCAUUUAAGACACAUCUUGAACCACGUCACAUAAAUGCACCCGCGGUCCACGACAUAUUUUAUUUAACGUUGUUGAGAUUUGGAUUUGGGUCACAU